GAUUAACGCUGGCGGCGUGCAUAACACAUGCAAGUCGAACGAUGAAACUUAACUGAUUUCUUCGGAAUGAUUUUAAGUGGAUUAGUGGCGGACGGGUGAGUAACGCGUGAGUAACCUGCCUUGGAGAAGGGGAUAGCCUUUGGAAACGAAGAAUAAUACCCUAUGAUAUGAUAAUAUCUCAUGAUAUUAUCAUCAAAGAUUUAUCGCUCUAAGAUGGACUUGCGUCUGAUUAGUUAGUUGGUGAGGUAACAGCUCACCAAGGCAGCGAUCAGUAGCCGGCUUGAGAGAGUGUACGGCCACAUUGGGACUGAGACACGGCCCAGACUCCUACGGGAGGCAGCAGUGGGGAAUUUUGCACAAUGGGGGAAACCCUGAUGCAGCGACGCCGCGUGAUUUAGAAGGCCUUCGGGUUGUAAGAAUCUUUUGUAUGGGAAGAAAAUGACAGUACCAUACGAAUAAGGACCGGCUAAUUACGUG
Molecule: ribosomal RNA, 477 nt
Filed under: uncultured bacterium
Lineage: Bacteria
Description: partial 16S ribosomal RNA
Rfam family: Bacterial small subunit ribosomal RNA
Source: RNAcentral